This 292-nucleotide ribosomal RNA is filed under the name uncultured bacterium. Its description in RNAcentral is "partial 16S ribosomal RNA". It matches the Rfam family "Bacterial small subunit ribosomal RNA", at positions 65 to 354 of the family's 1533-position model. The record is from RNAcentral.
CGGGGGACGCGCUUGCGCGUCCCGCCGGCGACCGGCGCACGGGUGAGUAACACGUAUGCAACCUGCCCCCGCCAGGGGUACAACCCUCCGAAAGGGGGGCUGAUACCGCGUACAUCCCCUGGGGGCAUCCCCGGGGAGGAAAGCCCUUUUGGGCGGGCGGGGAUGGGCAUGCGGCGCAUUAGGAAGACGGCGGUGUGACGGACCACCGUUCCGACGAUGCGUAGGGGUUCUGAGAGGAAGGCCCCCCACACUGGUACUGAGACACGGACCAGACUCCUACGGGAGGCAGCAG